UGCAACAUUUUUACAGUAGUGAAGAUAUGGAAGCACCCUAAGUGACCAUUGACAGGCAAAUAGAUAAAGAAGAUCUCGUGUAUAUAUAAAAUGGAAUAUGCCUCA
Molecule: long non-coding RNA, 105 nt
Organism: Lynx canadensis (Canada lynx)
Lineage: Eukaryota; Metazoa; Chordata; Mammalia; Carnivora; Felidae
Exons: 4
Source: RefSeq, a predicted model, not a curated record